GACGAACGCUGGCGGCAUGCCUAACACAUGCAAGUCGAACGGAACUUGUUGAAUGAAGUUUUCGGAUGGAUUUUAGCAAGUUUAGUGGCGGACGGGUGAGUAACGCGUGAGCAACCUGCCUUUCAGAGGGGGACAACAGUUGGAAACGACUGCUAAUACCGCAUAACGUAUCGGAACCGCAUGGCUCUGAUACCAAAGAUUUUAUCGCUGAAAGAUGGGCUCGCGUACGAUUAGAUAGUUGGUGAGGUAACGGCUCACCAAGUCGACGAUCGUUAGCCGGACUGAGAGGUUGAACGGCCACAUUGGGACUGAGACACGGCCCAGACUCCUACGGGAGGCAGCAGUGAGGAAUAUUGGGCAAUGGGCGCAAGCCUGACCCAGCAAUGCCGCGUGAAGGAUGAAGGUUUUCGGAUUGUAAACUUCUUUUAAGAGGGACGAUAAUGACGGUACCUCUUGAAUAAGCCACGGCUAACGUACGUAG
Molecule: ribosomal RNA, 481 nt
Filed under: uncultured bacterium
Lineage: Bacteria
Description: bacterial SSU rRNA
Rfam family: Bacterial small subunit ribosomal RNA
Source: RNAcentral